UACGGAGGGGGCGAGCGUUAUUCGGAAUUAUUGGGCGUAAAGCGCGCGCAGGCGGUCCUUUAAGUCUGAUGUGAAAGCCCACGGCUCAACCGUGGAGGGUCAUUGGAAACUGGGGGACUUGAGUGCAGAAGAGGAGAGUGGAAUUCCACGUGUAGCGGUGAAAUGCGUAGAGAUGUGGAGGAACACCAGUGGCGAAGGCGACUCUCUGGUCUGUAACUGACGCUGAGGCGCGAAAGCGUGGGGAGCAAACAGG
Molecule: ribosomal RNA, 253 nt
Filed under: uncultured bacterium
Lineage: Bacteria
Description: partial 16S ribosomal RNA
Rfam family: Bacterial small subunit ribosomal RNA
Source: RNAcentral